GGAAAGGCCCUUUCGGGGGUACUCGAGUGGCGAACGGGUGAGUAACACGUGGGUGAUCUGCCCUGCACUUUGGGAUAAGCCUGGGAAACUGGGUCUAAUACCGGAUAUAGAUCAUGGACUGCAUGGUUUGUGAUGGAAAGCUUUUGCGGUGUGGGAUGGGCCCGCGGCCUAUCAGCUUGUUGGUGGGGUGAUGGCCUACCAAGGCGACGACGGGUAGCCGGCCUGAGAGGGUGACCGGCCACACUGGGACUGAGAUACGGCCCAGACUCCUACGGGAGGCAGCAGUGGGGAAUAUUGCACAAUGGGCGCAAGCCUGAUGCAGCGACGCCGCGUGAGGGAUGACGGCCUUCGGGUUGUAAACCUCUUUCAGCAGGGACGAAGCGCAAGUGACGGUACCUGUAGAAGAAGGACCGGCCAACUACGUGCCAGCAGCCGCGGUAAUACGUAGGGUCCGAGCGUUGUCCGGAAUUACUGGGCGUAAAGAGCUCGUAGGUGGUUUGUCGCGUUGUUCGUGAAAACUCACAGCUCAACUGUGGGCGUGCGGGCGAUACGGGCAGACUUGAGUACUGCAGGGGAGACUGGAAUUCCUGGUGUAGCGGUGGAAUGCGCAGAUAUCAGGAGGAACACCGGUGGCGAAGGCGGGUCUCUGGGCAGUAACUGACGCUGAGGAGCGAAAGCGUGGGGAGCGAACAGGAUUAGAUACCCUGGUAGUCCACGCCGUAAACGGUGGGUACUAGGUGUGGGUUUCUUCCUUGGGAUCCGUGCCGUAGCUAACGCAUUAAGUACCCCGCCUGGGGAGUACGGCCGCAAGGCUAAAACUCAAAGAAAUUGACGGGGGCCCGCACAAGCGGCGGAGCAUGUGGAUUAAUUCGAUGCAACGCGAAGAACCUUACCUGGGUUUGACAUGCACAGGACGCUGGUAGAGAUGUCGGUUCCCUUGUGCCUGUGUGCAGUGUGCAUGG
Molecule: ribosomal RNA, 962 nt
Filed under: Mycolicibacterium helvum
Lineage: Bacteria; Bacillati; Actinomycetota; Actinomycetes; Mycobacteriales; Mycobacteriaceae
Description: bacterial SSU rRNA
Rfam family: Bacterial small subunit ribosomal RNA
Source: RNAcentral